Long non-coding RNA from Lutra lutra (Eurasian river otter), 599 nucleotides. RefSeq lists it as uncharacterized. NCBI's taxonomy places the organism in Eukaryota, Metazoa, Chordata, Mammalia, Carnivora, Mustelidae. The record is from RefSeq and is a predicted model, not a curated record. The transcript has 3 exons.
CAAUCUCUGGCUAGCUGCUGCACGCGAAGAUGACAGCAGUGGCAGAGGCAGCGAUGCCCUUGUCUUCUCUGGAGGCUACAGUGGUGAUGCUUUUGCUCCCUUGCCCAUGUCCAGAACUGACAAUCCAGCGGGGAGAUGAAGACGUAAACAGUUUCUAGGAGGAUAUGAUCACAGGGUGCUCAGCAAGCACAUGGUGGUGUCACAUAACAGCUUUGGGGAGCCAGGGAACUUGGGCUACAGUUUUGCAAAGGAACUCUGAAACCAACUUCUGCAAUGAAGUGAAUCUGCCCAAGGGAUAUUUUUUACCCUGAAAAAACACUAACUCCCCUAAGAACUGAAGAGCUUCUUUUUGCAGAACUAUCUUAUUGUUAUUCGGGACUGAUGGAAUGUCAGUCUUUUCUGCCAGAAACAGAAAUGCUAAUCGGGCCAUCAGCAUGUUGGGAUGGAGGACUGGCACUUCCAUGCUUGGCUUAGGCCCACGUGGACAACGGUUUUGCUGAAUCUUGUUUUCGUAGGUCCUUCUGGAGAUGCAGCCGGUAAGAAAUGUUGGCAAUCGAGAGAAUGUUGCUUUAACCAAGUUCAUUGUAGUACAUUUUUCA